RNAcentral lists this ribosomal RNA (1323 nucleotides) under Streptococcus thermophilus. RNAcentral's name for it is "bacterial SSU rRNA". It matches the Rfam family "Bacterial small subunit ribosomal RNA", at positions 94 to 1406 of the family's 1533-position model. Lineage: Bacteria; Bacillati; Bacillota; Bacilli; Lactobacillales; Streptococcaceae. The record is from RNAcentral.
AGUUGCGAACGGGUGAGUAACGCGUAGGUAACCUGCCUUGUAGCGGGGGAUAACUAUUGGAAACGAUAGCUAAUACCGCAUAACAAUGGAUGACACAUGUCAUUUAUUUGAAAGGGGCAAUUGCUCCACUACAAGAUGGACCUGCGUUGUAUUAGCUAGUAGGUGAGGUAAUGGCUCACCUAGGCGACGAUACAUAGCCGACCUGAGAGGGUGAUCGGCCACACUGGGACUGAGACACGGCCCAGACUCCUACGGGAGGCAGCAGUAGGGAAUCUUCGGCAAUGGGGGCAACCCUGACCGAGCAACGCCGCGUGAGUGAAGAAGGUUUUCGGAUCGUAAAGCUCUGUUGUAAGUCAAGAACGGGUGUGAGAGUGGAAAGUUCACACUGUGACGGUAGCUUACCAGAAAGGGACGGCUAACUACGUGCCAGCAGCCGCGGUAAUACGUAGGUCCCGAGCGUUGUCCGGAUUUAUUGGGCGUAAAGCGAGCGCAGGCGGUUUGAUAAGUCUGAAGUUAAAGGCUGUGGCUCAACCAUAGUUCGCUUUGGAAACUGUCAAACUUGAGUGCAGAAGGGGAGAGUGGAAUUCCAUGUGUAGCGGUGAAAUGCGUAGAUAUAUGGAGGAACACCGGUGGCGAAAGCGGCUCUCUGGUCUGUAACUGACGCUGAGGCUCGAAAGCGUGGGGAGCGAACAGGAUUAGAUACCCUGGUAGUCCACGCCGUAAACGAUGAGUGCUAGGUGUUGGAUCCUUUCCGGGAUUCAGUGCCGCAGCUAACGCAUUAAGCACUCCGCCUGGGGAGUACGACCGCAAGGUUGAAACUCAAAGGAAUUGACGGGGGCCCGCACAAGCGGUGGAGCAUGUGGUUUAAUUCGAAGCAACGCGAAGAACCUUACCAGGUCUUGACAUCCCGAUGCUAUUUCUAGAGAUAGAAAGUUACUUCGGUACAUCGGUGACAGGUGGUGCAUGGUUGUCGUCAGCUCGUGUCGUGAGAUGUUGGGUUAAGUCCCGCAACGAGCGCAACCCCUAUUGUUAGUUGCCAUCAUUCAGUUGGGCACUCUAGCGAGACUGCCGGUAAUAAACCGGAGGAAGGUGGGGAUGACGUCAAAUCAUCAUGCCCCUUAUGACCUGGGCUACACACGUGCUACAAUGGUUGGUACAACGAGUUGCGAGUCGGUGACGGCGAGCUAAUCUCUUAAAGCCAAUCUCAGUUCGGAUUGUAGGCUGCAACUCGCCUACAUGAAGUCGGAAUCGCUAGUAAUCGCGGAUCAGCACGCCGCGGUGAAUACGUUCCCGGGCCUUGUACACACCGCCCGUCACACCACG